UGGGAUGUAGCUCAAUUUGUAGAGCGCUAUGUAUUGCAUGCUAGAGGAACAGGUUUCAAUUCCUUGCAUCUCCA
Molecule: transfer RNA, 74 nt
Filed under: Setaria italica (foxtail millet)
Lineage: Eukaryota; Viridiplantae; Streptophyta; Magnoliopsida; Poales; Poaceae
Rfam family: tRNA
About the family: Transfer RNA (tRNA) molecules are approximately 80 nucleotides in length. Their secondary structure includes four short double-helical elements and three loops (D, anti-codon, and T loops).
Source: Rfam by way of RNAcentral